RNAcentral lists this ribosomal RNA (548 nucleotides) under uncultured bacterium. RNAcentral's name for it is "bacterial SSU rRNA". It matches the Rfam family "Bacterial small subunit ribosomal RNA", at positions 776 to 1314 of the family's 1533-position model. The record is from RNAcentral.
AAAUAGAUACCCGGGUAGUCCUGGCCCUAAACGAUGUCAACUAGAUUAUGGCGGCUCUGACGCCGUCAUGGUCGAAGCAAAAGUGGUAAGUUGACCGCCUGGGAAGUACGGUCGCAAGGCUAAAACUCAAAGGAAUUGACGGGGGCGUCACACAAGCGGUGGAGCAUGUGGCUUAAUUCGAAGCAACGCGCAGAACCUUACCUGGGUUUGACAUGCCUGGAUUAUCCCCGUGGAAGCGGGGUACGCCCUUCGGGGUGGAACUGGCACAGGUGCUGCAUGGCUGUCGUCAGCUCGUGUCGUGAGAUGUCGGGUUAAGUCCCUUAACGAGCGAAACCUUUAUCCUUAGUUGCCAGCGUAGUAAAGUCGGGGACUCUAAGGAGACUGCCGGUGUCAAACCGGAGGAAGGUGGAGAUGACGUCAAGUCCUCAUGGCCUUUAUGCCCAGGGCCACACACGUGCUACAAUGGCGUCGACAAAGCGAACCAAGAGCGCAAGCUGGAGGAAAUCGCAAAAAUGACGCCCCAGUUCAGAUCGGAGGCUGCAACCCCG